This 337-nucleotide ribosomal RNA is filed under the name Exodontha dubia. RNAcentral describes it as "partial 16S ribosomal RNA". Lineage: Eukaryota; Metazoa; Arthropoda; Insecta; Diptera; Stratiomyidae. The record is from RNAcentral.
UCUUUUAAUUGAAGGCUUGUAUGAAUGGUUGGACGAAAUAUUAACUUGUUUCAUAAAAAAUUUAGAACUUUAUUUUUUAGUUUAAAAGCUAAGAUUUACUUAAAAGACGAGAAGACCCUAUAGAUCUUAAUAAUUGAUUUAUUUUAUUUAUAAAGAAUAUUUAAAAUUAAAUAUAGUAAAUUAUUUUAUUGGGGUGAUAAUAAGAUUUAAUAAACUCUUAUAUUAUAUAACAUAAAUUAAUGAUUGAUUGAUCCAUUAAUAAUGAUUAGUAAUUUAAGUUACCUUAGGGAUAACAGCGUAAUUUUUUUGGAGAGUUCAUAUCGAUAAAAAAUAUUGC